Molecule: non-coding RNA, 73 nt
Organism: Potamilus streckersoni
Lineage: Eukaryota; Metazoa; Mollusca; Bivalvia; Unionida; Unionidae
Source: the annotation of a GenBank genome assembly
GAUCUGGUGGCCAAGUGGAUAAAGCGUUUGCCUCAGAUGCGGGAGGUCGUGCAUUCGAUCCCCGACCAAGUCA